This 23-nucleotide microRNA is filed under the name Heliconius melpomene (postman butterfly). RNAcentral describes it as "Hme-Mir-3-P20_5p* (star (passenger))". The record is from RNAcentral. Lineage: Eukaryota; Metazoa; Arthropoda; Insecta; Lepidoptera; Nymphalidae.
AGUAUUCAUUGGUUCAGUCGAUA